This 1818-nucleotide long non-coding RNA is filed under the name Nicotiana tabacum (common tobacco). Its description in RNAcentral is "long non-coding RNA (NTAB_LNC012864)". Lineage: Eukaryota; Viridiplantae; Streptophyta; Magnoliopsida; Solanales; Solanaceae. The record is from RNAcentral.
UUUCACUUUUAAUAUAGAUUUGAGUAAUGUUUAUAAUUUUUAUAAUUAGCUUAAUUUACAUUUUAGAUAAUUCAGGAUUUGUUUUUAAUUUUUAGGAUUUUUAAUAAAAAUAAAAGAGAGAUUAAAAGAAAAGGAAAUUAACGGAAGAAUUGGAGAAGGGGCUCAUUUAUGAUAUUUGGGCCAGUUUUUUACACACGAAUUAGGCCCAACCACUCCCCCUAUACAAAUUAAUUCUCUAAACCCAAACACCCUCUAAUUCGCCCCAGCCCAAACCGGGCUUGACUCGCCCGUUUUCCCUUAAUAUAAAAGCCCCUUUAUAAUUUUUCCCCCAAACUCAUCAGAGGCGGCUAUUGUUCAUCUUCCUCUCUACUGAGCUCAAUCUCAACUCGCCUGAGUUCGAGCUUACUCACUCAUAACGGUUCUCUCUCCACGUCACCUCUAUUUCCAACGGAUUUGUUAGAGAUGAGUACGAUUAUUCUCUCAAAACCGCAGAUUCUUGUACAAAAGGAUGAUUUGCUGGACGAAUAGGGGCCGUGGAUAGAUGUAAAUCGAUCCACGCCUUCCAUUUAUCCCAAAAAUUGUUCAAAAAUCUGAGGAUUUUCAGAGUUUCUGGUAGAUGUUUUUUUGAGAUUUUUGGAAGGCUAUAUAAGGUGAGUCUCUUUGUAAAAAAAAAAAGGAGAGAAAAUCAAAGGAGAAAAAAAAAUCUGAAAAAGAUCUUAAAAGUUUAGUCGAAAUUUACAGUUUUUUUUAGUAGUCAUUUUUCUUCAAGUCCUUCUUCUUCAGUUUUUUUUUUUUUUUAGAAAAAGCAUAAAGAAAAUGUGUUCUGAGUUCAUCCUUGGUUUGAGUCUAUUGCAUUUUUGAAGAGAAAAACCAAAAAAAGUGACCGAAAAUAGAUAAUUUUUUAGCUUUGGUUUCUUUCUCUUGAUUCUUUGGUUCUAAAAAGGAAGUUUUUUUUUUGGAUUAAAUUUCAAGUUAAAGUCUGUAGCUGGGAUUCUGAACUGUGGCGCUGUGGAUUUCUAUCCGAAUUUUUGGUUGCGAUUUGGAUUUGGCUGGCUGAUUUGCUGAGUUAUCUUCGCUGUCACUGAAUUUCUUCCCCUGUUCCAGCAUUUCGUCUUGUUAUUUUUCAAUUGUCUUACUCUCAUAGGUAUGUUCAUGCGUCUUUGUUUCUUUUGGCUUGAAACCAUGAAUGAAAGUCUUAUUUGUUUAAGUUUAGAUUUUAUCCGAGCUCUUAGACUCAGCAUAUAAUUGUCAUAUUAAUUCGAAUUUCCCUCUCUACUAAGCUCUGAAUGUAUUAGUGUGUUAAGCAAGAGACUCGAGUUGUUAAAUGUUAAUGGAUAAUUGAUUGGUUAAUGUCGACAAUCAUUUAGUUGCCAAGAUUACAUGGUUCAUGCUUGAAAUGAAAUUAAUGUUGGUCAAAAUGAUCUAACUGCUACUUGCCUAAAGAAAUUUCAUUGGUUAUUACAUUUUCUUUUAUGAAAGUUGUGUGAAAGGAAGCGUAUGUGUAGAUCUGUAUUAAGCUGAAAUAGUCACAAUCUUUUCUGUGGCAACAUGUGCAAUUCGUGUGAGGUAGAUAGAAAUACAUUCAUAUGAUCUGUUUGGUUAAUUGAUGCUGGUAAGUGACAGAAUCUUGCUUAGUGAACUUGGAAGUGAUCAAAAAUGCUAAAUUCUUAGUAAAUCUCAUUGUUAAACAGAGUGUAAAAUAUUUACUUGCUUUUUUCACUAAGAGUUUUUAUUAUGUCUUAACAAGUUAUUCGGUCCCUGUGAAUGUUGAUGCUCAAUUUUUUCCUAUGUAUUUUUAUAUACAAAAUACUUUCAAAA